UGUAACACAAGACUACAACAUUUCAUGGACACCAUGAAUCAAUCAAGCAUCUAGUACCUACAAAUAUGUAGUAUACUAUUUUUACAAGAUAGCAUGACUUUCACAACACAAAAAUUGAGCACACGGUAGCAUUUCAGUUCCAUCUAGAUACAACAAAAUCAUCCCAAAAUGUCAUGUCACAUAGCAUUGGAGUUACCUUCUUUUUAAUUGACUGCUGCAACUUGCAAAACUGAACUCCUAUGAACCUGAAACAGCGAGAAAGGGAUUAGGAUUUGACUGCUGCAGAUUUACAAACACUAAACCCAGAUUAACCUAAAAAAAUAGAGAGAAUUAGGAUGUGACCUGCUUGUGUUCUAGGGUUCAUGAAGAAAAAGGGACAGACACCAC
Molecule: long non-coding RNA, 387 nt
Filed under: Triticum aestivum (bread wheat)
Lineage: Eukaryota; Viridiplantae; Streptophyta; Magnoliopsida; Poales; Poaceae
Description: long non-coding RNA (TAES_LNC006294)
Source: RNAcentral